RNAcentral lists this ribosomal RNA (350 nucleotides) under uncultured Pythium. RNAcentral's name for it is "SSU rRNA". It matches the Rfam family "Eukaryotic small subunit ribosomal RNA", at positions 20 to 370 of the family's 1831-position model. The record is from RNAcentral. Lineage: Eukaryota; Oomycota; Peronosporomycetes; Pythiales.
GUAGUCAUAUGCUUGUCUCAAAGAUUAAGCCAUGCAUGUCUAAGUAUAAACAAUUUCGUACUGUGAAACUGCGAAUGGCUCAUUAUAUCAGUUAUAGUCUACUCGAUAGUACCUUACUACUUGGAUAACCGUAGUAAUUCUAGAGCUAAUACAUGCACAAAUACCCAACUGCUUGUCGGACGGGUAGCAUUUAUUAGAUUGAAACCAAUGCAGUCUUCGGGCUGGUAUUGUGUUGGGUCAUAAUAACUGUGCGGAUCGCACUCAGUGCGAUAAAUCGAUUGAGUUUCUGCCCUAUCAGCUUUGGAUGGUAGGAUAUGGGCCUACCAUGGCAUCAACGGGUAACGGGGAAU